Long non-coding RNA from Drosophila pseudoobscura, 1228 nucleotides. RefSeq lists it as uncharacterized. The transcript has 2 exons. The record is from RefSeq and is a predicted model, not a curated record. NCBI's taxonomy places the organism in Eukaryota, Metazoa, Arthropoda, Insecta, Diptera, Drosophilidae.
UACUUAAUCCCCCAACAUCUAUAACUACGACGUUAUUGAAACUUAACCAACACUUAUAAAUAUGCAAUAGAACAAAGAAUACUCUUGAACUCUUAGUGAAAUACAUAAUAUAACCCUGGUUAUAUCGAAUACGUGGUAAUGACAAGCACUUGUAGAAAAUUAUUUGAUCGAUUUCGAUCGAGCCUAAAUUCAAUCAGCGCGAGGCACUUGCACUGGUCUCGUCGAGCAUAAGAUGAUGAAGCAGCACCGUUGGAACGAGUGGAGGAGGACGUAGUGAGGAGGAGUGGAAAAUGGAGAACAUCUGAGCGAGGAAGAGUGCCAGAUAAUGCGACUAGUAGGCCCAAAGGAAACCUCGUUGGCCAAUUGGGGUGGAGACAGACCCAGGCAGAGAGCCAAACUGAAACUAUCGGAGGCCUGACCAACCAAUGGCAGUUCAGUACGGAAUCGAAGCCUAGUGCAGAGGGGGACCACGGGAAGGGGAAAGCACCAGGCCAGGACAAUGCGGCGCGCAAUGCAUUUGGCAACAUGUCAAGCAGUCCAGGAAGGAGCACACUCACUCACACGCUCUACGGGGAUUGGUGCAAGUCGUCCAAGUAAUUCUCUGGCCUGCCUCGCUCACAUGCGCAUGGAAAGUUCUUUAAGUAAUAUAUCAACCAUACGCCUGUUGGCCAGGCACCGAGUCCUUGCCGCCACGUCCGUGCCAGUGUGUGUGUGUGUGAGUGUGCCGAGGGCCACGAGGCUUGCCAACUGCAUUGCAGGCCCGUUGCGAUUUAACUUGUGCCCGUGGCGAGCCCCGACCCGAGGACUCCCACCCAUCCAUCCCCAACACAAACGAUGAGUCCUUUGCAAGCAGCGCAUUGGCUGCAGGACGACUGGCGACAGGACGACCAAUCGCAGCACCGCUUGUGCGCACUAUCCCGGCCGCCCUGCAGGCCCCCCGGCACGAGUCGCGGGAACAGGACCAGUCAGAAGACUCAAGCUGAUUGCACUAUCCAACUUUUAAACGAUAUACUUAGUUACAUAUUACAUAAUAUAUGUAGUUCUUUAGUCGUAAGUCACAUGCCCAAGCCUACGCCCCCGAAACACCAUCUGCACGGGGGGCGUGAAAAAUUAGUUUAUGUAUAUCUUAGAGUUUCAAGCAACAUAUAUAAAAAAAUAAUGAAGAUUUCAAGAAUGCGUAAGAAAAAAAGGAAUAAAACCGGUAAAGCUCCAGAGCGGCAAACCAAAA